GGAGACGUGGAUAACCCCGGGAAACUGGGAUUAAUACACGAUAGGUCAUCUCAUCUGGAAGGAGAGAUGGCUUAAAGGGGUGUGCGGGCUUCUUCUGUGCAUCUGCUCCAGGAUGGGACUGCGACUGAUCAGGCUGUUGGCGGGGUAAUGGCCCACCAAACCAGUAACCAGUACGGGCCUUGAGAGAGGGGGCCCGGAGAUGGACACUGAGAGAAGGGUCCAGGUCCUACGGGGCGCAGCAGGCGCGAAACCUUCGCAAUGCGCGAAAGCGUGACGAGGUUAAUCCGAGUGGUUCCCGCUGAGGGAAUCUUUUGUCGGCGCUAAAAAAGCCGGCGAAUAAGGGGAGGGCAAGUCUGGUGUCAGCCGCCGCGGUAAUACCAGCUCCUCGAGUGGUCGGGGCGAUUAUUGGGCCUAAAGCAUCCGUAGCCGGUUCCGUAGGUCCUCUGUCAAAUCCAACGGCUUAACCGUUGGCCCGCAGAGGAUACCGCGGGACUAGGAGGCGGGAGAGGCGGACGGUACUCCACGUGUAGGGGUAAAAUCCUUUGAUCCGUGGAAGA
RNAcentral lists this ribosomal RNA (557 nucleotides) under uncultured archaeon. RNAcentral describes it as "bacterial SSU rRNA". It matches the Rfam family "Archaeal small subunit ribosomal RNA", at positions 116 to 656 of the family's 1478-position model. The record is from RNAcentral.